UACGUAGGGGGCGAGCGUUGUCCGGAUUUAUUGGGCGUAAAGAGCGUGUAGGCGGCCAGGUAGGUCUGCUGUGAAAACUCGAGGCUCAACCUCGAGACGUCGGCGGAAACCAUCUGGCUAGAGUCCGGAAGAGGAGAGUGGAAUUCCUGGUGUAGCGGUGAAAUGCGCGGAUAUCAGGAAGAACACCCGUGGCGAAGGCGGCUCUCUGGGACGGUACUGACGCUGAGGUGCGAAAGCGUGGGGAGCAAACAGG
RNAcentral lists this ribosomal RNA (253 nucleotides) under uncultured bacterium. Its description in RNAcentral is "partial 16S ribosomal RNA". It matches the Rfam family "Bacterial small subunit ribosomal RNA", at positions 524 to 776 of the family's 1533-position model. The record is from RNAcentral.